UACAUGCAGUCGAGCGACAGAGAAGGAGCUUGCUCCUUCGACGUUAGCGGCGGACGGGUGAGUAACACGUGGGCAACCUACCUUAUAGUUUGGGAUAACUCCGGGAAACCGGGGCUAAUACCGAAUAAUCUGUUUCACCUCAUGGUGAAACACUGAAAGACGGUUUCGGCUGUCGCUAUAGGAUGGGCCCGCGGCGCAUUAGCUAGUUGGUGAGGUAACGGCUCACCAAGGCGACGAUGCGUAGCCGACCUGAGAGGGUGAUCGGCCACACUGGGACUGAGACACGGCCCAGACUCCUACGGGAGGCAGCAGUAGGGAAUCUUCCACAAUGGGCGAAAGCCUGAUGGAGCAACGCCGCGUGAGUGAAGAAGGAUUUCGGUUCGUAAAACUCUGUUGUAAGGGAAGAACAAGUACAGUAGUAACUGGCUGUACCUUGACGGUACCUUAUUAGAAAGCCACGGCUAACUACGUGCCAGCAGCCGCGGUAAUACGUAGGUGGCAAGCGUUGUCGGGAAUUAUUGGGCGUAAAGCGCGCGCAGGUGGUUUCUUAAGUCUGAUGUGAAAGUCCACGGCUCAACCGUGCAGGGUCAUUGGAAACUGAGAGACUUGAGUGCAGAAGAGGAUCGUGGAAUUCCAAGUGUAGCGGUGAAAUGCGUAGAGAUUUGGAGGAACACCAGUGGCGAAGGCGACUAUCUGGUCUGUAACUGACACUGAGGCGCGAAAGCGUGGCGAGCAAACAGGAUUAGAUACCCUGGUAGUCCACGCCGUAAACGAUGAGUGCUAAGUGUUAGGGGGUUUCCGCCCCUUAGUGCUGCAGCUAACGCAUUAAGCACUCCGCCUGGGGAGUACGGUCGCAAGACUGAAACUCAAGGGAAUUGUAGGGGGCCCGCACAAGCGGUGGAGCAUGUGGUUUAAUUCGAAGAAACGCGAAGAACCUUACCAGGUCUUGACAUCC
RNAcentral lists this ribosomal RNA (955 nucleotides) under Lysinibacillus fusiformis. Its description in RNAcentral is "bacterial SSU rRNA". It matches the Rfam family "Bacterial small subunit ribosomal RNA", at positions 52 to 989 of the family's 1533-position model. The record is from RNAcentral. Lineage: Bacteria; Bacillati; Bacillota; Bacilli; Caryophanales; Bacillaceae.